Molecule: long non-coding RNA, 214 nt
Filed under: Malus domestica (apple)
Lineage: Eukaryota; Viridiplantae; Streptophyta; Magnoliopsida; Rosales; Rosaceae
Description: long non-coding RNA (MDOM_LNC003648)
Source: RNAcentral
AAGCAUCCAACGGUCCAAGUAAUUGGUAAAUUAAAAUUAAAAAGAAAUAAAGAAGGCUUAUUAUAUUAGCACCCCACAAAUUGUUGAAUAAACCCCACAUACUUAAUAUACCCCACAUUUACUUUUUCAAUUAAAAAUUAUCUUAAUACACCUCACUUCCUUCCCCAUAAUACCCUCACACCCCACAUUCUUAAUAUACACCUUAUAUUUUCUA